RNAcentral lists this transfer RNA (74 nucleotides) under Ovis aries (sheep). It matches the Rfam family "tRNA". From Rfam's summary of the family: Transfer RNA (tRNA) molecules are approximately 80 nucleotides in length. Their secondary structure includes four short double-helical elements and three loops (D, anti-codon, and T loops). The record is from Rfam by way of RNAcentral. Lineage: Eukaryota; Metazoa; Chordata; Mammalia; Artiodactyla; Bovidae.
UCCCUGGAAGUCCAGUGGCUAAGGCUCUGUACUUCCAAUGCAGGGUUGCCUGGGUUCAAUCCCUGGUCAGGGAA